UGGGGAAUAUUGCACAAUGGGCGCAAGCCUGAUGCAGCCAUGCCGCGUGUGUGAAGAAGGCCUUCGGGUUGUAAAGCACUUUCAGCGAGGAGGAAGGGUAGUGUGUUAAUAGCACAUUGCAUUGACGUUACUCGCAGAAGAAGCACCGGCUAACUCCGUGCCAGCAGCCGCGGUAAUACGGAGGGUGCAAGCGUUAAUCGGAAUUACUGGGCGUAAAGCGCACGCAGGCGGUUUGUUAAGUCAGAUGUGAAAUCCCCGCGCUUAACGUGGGAACUGCAUUUGAAACUGGCAAGCUAGAGUCUUGUAGAGGGGGGUAGAAUUCCAGGUGUAGCGGUGAAAUGCGUAGAGAUCUGGAGGAAUACCGGUGGCGAAGGCGGCCCCCCUGGACAAAGACUGACGCUCAGGUGCGAAAGCGCGGGGA
Molecule: ribosomal RNA, 421 nt
Filed under: uncultured bacterium
Lineage: Bacteria
Description: partial 16S ribosomal RNA
Rfam family: Bacterial small subunit ribosomal RNA
Source: RNAcentral